Gadus macrocephalus (Pacific cod) is the source of this 2469-nucleotide long non-coding RNA. RefSeq lists it as uncharacterized. The record is from RefSeq and is a predicted model, not a curated record. The transcript is spliced from 2 exons. Lineage: Eukaryota; Metazoa; Chordata; Actinopteri; Gadiformes; Gadidae.
UCAAACUCCUCCUCCUCCUCCUCCUCCUCCUGCUUUCACUCGUUUUUUUCCGAGGCUCAACAGAAAACACAUGCAGUUGAAGACGGAGCAGAGCUUAAAAAAACCCACUGGGGUUCAUUCAGGCCAAGAAAAUGUUCCACGUAUUCUUAAAGUCCGUGCCAGAGAGUCAGGCACGGAAGAGAGAGAGAGAGAGAGAGAGAGAGAGAGAGAGAGAGAGAGAGAGAGAGAGAGAGAAUCCUAGAGUAUGAGAGAGGAUGGAGGGAGGGUGAAAAUUAAAGUAAGAGAGCGAUACCUUGAGAGCGAUAGAAAGAGCGAGGAGGGAGGGAGACUUAAAGAGAGGUUUCGAGACUCAGAGGGAGUGAGAGAGGGAGCAGAAAAUAUCGGUCCUCACAUUUGCUAUCAAUUUAUAGCGGCAGAGACGUAGCGCGAAGGGCAGACAUUUUGUUAAGUUCCUCACUGGAACAGUGGCGGCGUGUCGUGGUGGUCUGCGCUGCUGGGAGCGAGGGAGAGAGGGAGCCAGUCAGUCAUACAGAGAUGGAUGUAUGUGAAGACAGAGGAGAGCAGAUGUAGCAGAGAGGGCAGCUGGCGUCCAGGUGGAAAUGCGUCCUCCUGCGACGUGGCGCGCCGGAGCGGAGGCGAUGCUGCUGGUCAGAGGUGACCCAUGUGGACGAUGUGGUCGGGAGCCUCCACAUGUUGGGGGCGGGGUUUACUGUGCGUGAGGGUCAUGAGGUUGAUGCUCGAGACAGUACAGUGAAAGGUCAUUAAGGAGCAGGUAGGGGUUAGACAGUACAGAGACAGGUCAUUAAGGAGCAGGUAGGGGUUAGACAGUACAGAGACAGGUCAUUAAGGAGCAGGUAGGGUUAGACAGUACAGAGACAGGUCAUUAAGGAGCAGGUAGGGGUUAGACAGUACAGAGACAGGUCAUUAAGGAGCAGGUAGGGGUUAGACAGUACAGAGACAGGUCGAUGAGGAGCAGGUAGGGGUUAGACAGUACAGAGACAGGUCAUUAAGGAGCAGGUAGGGGAUGACAGUACAGAGACAGGUCAUUAAGGAGCAGGUAGGGGUUAGACAGUACAGAGACAGGUCGAUGAGGAGCAGGUAGGGGUUAGACAGUACAGAGACAGGUCAUUAAGGAGCAGGUAGGGGUUAGACAGUACAUAGACAGGUCAUUAAGGAGCAGGUAGGGGUUAGACAGUACAGAGACAGGUCGAUGAGGAGCAAGGUAGGGGUUAGACAGUACAGAGACAGGUCAUUAAGGAGCAGGUAGGGGAUGGACAGUACAGAGACAGGUCGAUGAGGAGGAGGUAGGGGUUAGACAGUACAGAGACAGGUCGAUGAGGAGGAGGUAGGGUUAAUAGAUGUAGAACACAUGGACAUCAGAGAUUGAAUUCUGCGCUGGAGGCCAACCCUUAGACUCUCCACAUGCUAAUAGUAGCUAGGAUGAGCUCCAGAUGUAGGCGGGCGAGACCUCUUGGCUGCCCGUGUCUGAGUGGCUGUCGCUAGGGCCAAGAAAACAGAAUCAGAGCCCUGACAACCAGAAGGGGGUAGAUCAAGGGGCCGCUUAUCAAUGAGAACGAUCGAUAAUCGAUGCCUCGGCAGUCCUAUCUCCGAGACGUGAGCCCUGUUUUCCACGGUCCGCCCCGGAGGUUUCUCCUGGGCCUCCCGGGUUGUGGUUAAUGGAUCGGCGCAGCCCGACUCUGCGUGUGAAGGAAUGUGUUUGGACAGAACCGCAGGACGCUAACGGAGGAUGACUAGCGAGGGUUCUGCCGUGCUGGGUGGGUGGGGGGGGGCGGGGGGCUGGGGGAGGAAGAACAAUAGAUGUACUGUGUUUGUUGAAAGAGAUUUAUGGCGUCUAUUAUAUCGUUUACCAGCUCUGACCCCCCCCCCCCCCCCCCCCCCCCCCCCCCCCGACAUAUACUAUACAUGGGUCCGCACUACUGUUUACGCUGCAGCCGUAACGCACACAUGUUUCUAUCCAAAAGGACCUACUUUGUGAAUUAGUUUCUUAGAUAGGAUCCGUGUCGUGAAGGAGCAGGUGGGGGUAAGGGGUUGUCUUGCGGUAGGAGGCCUACAGGUAGACUGUGGACAUUGGGGUUCAUAUAAGCAGCUGUAAGCAGCCAUCAGAACUGCCCUAAUACCUCACGAGUGGACAGGAAAGGGAAGGGGUGGGCAGUGUCGCACAAGACUGUGUCGCCUUCAGGCGCUGGGCUGGCUGUUCACCAUUCACACACAGGUCUCUCAGGCGACAGAGCAGGUCAGGAAGCUUGUUAGCCUUAAGAGCUCAACUUGUUAGCGCGGGUACUUAGCUCGCUAACAAAGACCCCCCUAACACACACACACACACACACACACACACACACACACACACACACACACACACAGAGAAACACACACACACACACACACACAGGGAAACACACACACACACACACACACACACACACACACACACACACACACACACACACA